UACGUAGGGGGCUAGCGUUGUCCGGAAUCAUUGGGCGUAAAGCGCGUGUAGGCGGUCCGGUAAGUCCGCUGUGAAAGUCGAGGGCUCAACCCUCGAAUGCCGGUGGAUACUGUCGGGCUUGAGUACGGGAGAGGCGAGUGGAAUUCCUGGUGUAGCGGUGAAAUGCGCAGAUAUCAGGAGGAACACCAAUAGCGAAGGCAGCUCGCUGGGACGGUAUUGACGCUAAGGCGCGAAAGCGUGGGGAGCAAACAGG
This 253-nucleotide ribosomal RNA is filed under the name uncultured bacterium. Its description in RNAcentral is "partial 16S ribosomal RNA". It matches the Rfam family "Bacterial small subunit ribosomal RNA", at positions 524 to 776 of the family's 1533-position model. The record is from RNAcentral.